AGCGAACGCUGGCGGCAGGCCUAACACAUGCAAGUCGAACGAACCUUUCGGGGUUAGUGGCGGACGGGUGAGUAACACGUGGGAACGUGCCUUUAGGUUCGGAAUAACUCAGGGAAACUUGUGCUAAUACCGAAUGUGCCCUUCGGGGGAAAGAUUUAUCGCCUUUGGAGCGGCCUGCGUCUGAUUAGCUAGUUGGUUGAGGUAAUGGCUCACCAAGGCGACGAUCAGUAGCUGGUCUGAGAGGAUGAUCAGCCACAUUGGGACUGAGACACGGCCCAAACUCCUACGGGAGGCAGCAGUGGGGAAUCUUGCGCAAUGGGCGAAAGCCUGACGCAGCCAUGCCGCGUGAAUGAUGAAGGUCUUAGGAUUGUAAAAUUCUUUCACCGGGGACGAUAAUGACGGUACCCGGAGAAGAAGCCCCGGCUAACUUCGUG
RNAcentral lists this ribosomal RNA (434 nucleotides) under uncultured bacterium. RNAcentral's name for it is "partial 16S ribosomal RNA". It matches the Rfam family "Bacterial small subunit ribosomal RNA", at positions 29 to 507 of the family's 1533-position model. The record is from RNAcentral.